CUGGCCAUGAUGUUCAUGUCUUAGAACUUCGCCAGUCUGCAACUAUUUCCUUCCCUUACAUGUUACGUGCACAAUGCCCCCAUGAGGAAAAGGCGUAUGACUCUUGCUAGAGGUUGAUCUGUCUGAACUGCUGAAUCUUGAUGACUUGCAAUCAACAGACUGUAGAACAAUAAGGUCAGCAGUGUAAAGAUGUGGAUUUUUUUCUGCCUCUAAAUGCAGGCUGCUCUUCUGGGCCAGUGAGGACUGCUCCAGUGAGAAGAAACAGGAAAGGCUGCGAGUCGUGGGCAUCCCACUGCUUCUGCUGUUCUGAUUCCUGGGGAAGUAGGAGAAGAAGGGCUCCAACAGCCUCACAGGGGCCCAGCACUGGAAGCAGGAGCUCGGAAUUGCCCACUGCAGCCUCCUUUCUACAGUACUGCCAUGGCCUGUGCAAGGUGUUCAGGGGAUCCUUGCAGGUAACGGGCUGAGCUGAGGGGUGCCAGCUGCUCCUUACAAGUACAAGCAGUACAAGGGUCACAAGGAAGGUCUGUAAGAAGCUAAUAUUAGUGUUUAUCAAUAAUCAUAAGUUCCUCUGUUCUGAUAUUAUGCUAGAUCAGAGUGUUACUCUAAUGAAAGCCAUAGAAGACAUAAACACACUCAAGCUUGCUUAGCUAGGAAAUCAAAAGAUAAUGGAUAUUUACAGCCAAUAUCAAAACCAUAACCAAUUCGGCAGAGGAGCAUUUUAUAUGACCAGUGAUUUAGAAGGCUCAUACAGGUAAGCUACAGCAGCAAUCCAGUCGAGGCACUGUGCCCAGAGCUCCCAGGUGGUGCCACUGCCCAUCAGCCCCUGGAGCUGACCUGGUUGUUGUGCUGGGCCUUGUUACACAGCUCUCCUCAUAAACCAUGUGGGGAAUUCUAAUAAUUAUACCUGUAUAAGUAGGAGGAUAACUGAAACAUAUGUUACCAGGUUCUAGAAAUGCUCUGAACAGCUACCAAAGUUUUCUGCACUUGUACAGUCAACAAAAUACACUUGGAAAGAGUACCGUAGUGAUAUAGCAAAGGAGCAAACAGGGAAGGAAUGCUCACCUGUAUCCAAAAAUUUAGGCUUGCAACGAAAAGCUCCGCAGAGGAGGGAUUUCCAGAAAGAGAUCCUUUGCUAGUGUUAGUCAGCCCUUAAAUGGGCUUUUAGAGAGAUGCAGCCAGGUUCCACUCCUUCAGGUCACACAGCUGAAUUGCCUUCACCUGUGUUCCUAAAGCUGGCCCAGUCCUUGCUUCAGGUGAUCAGUCAGUGAAUCAGGCCUUGAUUCAACAAUUCCAAUACAUUACUUUAUCCGAACUGAACAACUGUGCUGUGCCAUUGGAGUAACAUGACAAGUUGUACACAUUGAGAGAUGACUGCAUCAACUGCAGUGGGGUGCAGCUUCCAGCCCUGACUCAUGAAAGUCAAGGAUCCUUCUCACAGGAGUGUUUUUAGGUGGUGGAGUGUGAUUGUGAAAUUUAGAGCUAGGCCUUUUCUUAGGUACGAUGGAGUUUGGUAGGUUGGUUGAAGCAGUUUUGUAGGUUGGUUUUGAAAUCAUACUUUUACUUUGCUGAUUAGGUGGUAUUCAUGGCCAGCAACUUGAACUAGGCAGUGUUAGAAGUGUGUUGUGUCAGUGCUGGGUCAGAGGACAAGGGAUGUCAGUGUCUGAACCACAGCUAUAAUGCUGUACCUGGCCUUGGUUAUGUUGCUGAAGCUUUGUGGGAUGCAGUUCUUCUGUAGAAAAUGGAAAUGAGUGUUAUUUGCCUACCAAUAAAGAGUGCUACAACAGGCUGUUAGCUCCACUGGAUUGCCUGUAUGAAGGUGUAUAGAACUGCUCAGAAAGCUCCAUUAGCUAGCUGGGAUUUGGGCUCACAUUUUUUCAGCUCUGCUAACUAAAUCCCAGUGUAAUAAUUGAAAUAGAUUUUUUGUCUGGUUCUUCUUUUAUUUUGCAUGUCAUUGGAAAGGACCUUCUGAUCUAUGCACCAAGCUUAGCAGCAGUGCAGUCAGGAAAGGAACUGAACUUUAGGGCUCCUGUCAGUUUGGAUUGGAAAUAAUUAUGCAAAGGAUUGUGAGAUUUUGCUGUCUUCAAAUGAGAAAUGCACUUGAGCUUCAGUUUAUCCUGGAAUGCAACUUCAUUUCAAAUCUUUGCUUCACAUACUAUAAUUUUGACUUUUCCUUAUAAAAAAAUCAGGUGGAAAUGAUUAGAAAUAGGAAGAAAACACUUAAUUUGCAGAAAAAUGCCUCAAUGGUAGUGAAAUGACAGUGCCUGACACACUGCCUCAUGGUGUUCAUUCUUGCUCAGCUACAGUGAAGGCAGAAAAGGCAUAAAUUACUCAGUGAGCAAAUGCCUUGUUUUCUCUGUAACUCCACCUCUUUUGGGCAUCCUGCCCUGUCCCCACCCCUUGCACUUGUCUGCAUGUCUUAAUGGCAGUAUUCAUGCAGCUGGUAAUUUAUGUGUCUGAGAGAGAAGAUUUACACAGAGCCUUCCCUUCAGUUAUUUAGAAAAUGUGAGCUACAACAUGUGAUUUGUUAGGUCCCAAAUUCUAACUUAAAAGUCAUGAACAUCUUAAUGGCUGGGCUUGAGCAAGAGAAGUUUUAUAUGCAAUUACUUGAGCUAGGAGCUAGUUCUGAGGUCCUCACUUUACACCUAGUUACAAAAGUUUGUCUUCAAAAUAAAUACAAUGCCUAUUGUAACAUAAGCACACAGUAAUUUGGCUUGGCUGAAGCAGUUCAGUGCGCUGCUCUAGAAGGCAGACGGAGCUGAUCCAGUUACGGAGACCUACUUGAUUCAGUCGGUGUCUUGUGUCAUAAACACGAAUUGUUAAUUUCAUAUUACUCAUAACAGGCGCACUGUGAAUGUUUGCAGCGUUUAUGGGAUAUCAGUUACAAAUGUGAUUAUACCAGCCAUUCCUCAGGACUGACACCAGUUUCAAAUUAGAAGCUGACAGGCCUCACCUGCUCCUGAGUUCACUGACAGGUCACCUUCUUGUCAUUUUGGCUGUCCCCCCCUCACAAUGACAUCUGUGUUCAUAAAGGGACAACGAGGGACUCUAAGUUGUUAGAAUUGUUGAAGAAUAAGAAUAAGGUGUCAUCUACUCCAAUAACGUAGUACUCAACUUUGGCCUUUCAGAUGGCGUGAUGCUUGUAGCACCUGACAAUGUUUCCAGAUACAAGAAUAGCUGGAUCGGAGGGGCAGCAGUUGUUCCCUCUUCUAUGCACGGAUGCUAGGCAUUCAGCUCAGUGCUAGCACACAGAGGAUGGACAAUCUCAGAGUAUUCCGCAAAGAGUUUCAAAAUACCUUUACUUUUUGCAUAAAGGAAUAGCACAU
Long non-coding RNA from Tympanuchus pallidicinctus (lesser prairie-chicken), 3323 nucleotides. RefSeq lists it as uncharacterized. The record is from RefSeq and is a predicted model, not a curated record. The transcript is spliced from 4 exons. Lineage: Eukaryota; Metazoa; Chordata; Aves; Galliformes; Phasianidae.